RNAcentral lists this ribosomal RNA (301 nucleotides) under uncultured bacterium. Its description in RNAcentral is "partial 16S ribosomal RNA". It matches the Rfam family "Bacterial small subunit ribosomal RNA", at positions 509 to 809 of the family's 1533-position model. The record is from RNAcentral.
CAGUCGCCGCGGUAAUACAGAGGGUGCGAGCGUUAAUCGGAUUUACUGGGCGUAAAGCGUGCGUAGGCGGCUUCUUAAGUCGGAUGUGAAAUCCCUGAGCUUAACUUAGGAAUUGCAUUCGAUACUGGGAAGCUAGAGUAUGGGAGAGGAUGGUAGAAUUCCAGGUGUAGCGGUGAAAUGCGUAGAGAUCUGGAGGAAUACCGAUGGCGAAGGCAGCCAUCUGGCCUAAUACUGACGCUGAGGUACGAAAGCAUGGGGAGCAAACAGGAUUAGAUACCCGGGUAGUCCCUGUCUCUUAUAU